Vigna radiata var. radiata (mung bean) is the source of this 2401-nucleotide RNA transcript. It is a transcript of the gene named pentatricopeptide repeat-containing protein At1g79080, chloroplastic, with no coding region annotated. NCBI's taxonomy places the organism in Eukaryota, Viridiplantae, Streptophyta, Magnoliopsida, Fabales, Fabaceae. The transcript has 3 exons. The record is from RefSeq and is a predicted model, not a curated record.
AACGUAGCUGACGCUAUUGAAUGAAAAUCUUCAGUUGUUGGUACCUUUCUCUCUUUCCCUUUCACACUCACUUUCUCACUUGUUAAUUCUCGCGAAGAAUCAAUCUUCACACAUCACUGUGUAUCCACUGUAACUAGUUUCAACAUACCUAUUGCAAGCAGAACCUGUCCACAAUGUUUCUUAGUUUUUGUUCUAUCUGCAAAACAUGAUCAACUAGGACUCAUUCACCAUCGUUAUACUUCAUUUUCCUACUUCAAUCAUGGCUUCACUUCUGAAUACUGUGUCACCAGCUGCAAAUUUAUCCCCCAAAACAAAACGACCCACUUGUGGCGGUUUCUUGCACUCCCAGGUUCCGAAUCUCCACACUUUUUCCAUGAACAAGGGUUUUUCUAGGGUUUCGGCUUCGACCCAGAUUGCCAUUACCCCAAAAGAUGCGGUUUUUAAUCUCCCCAAUUGGAGAGGUGGGAGGAAUGACCCUAGGGGCAAAGAGCUAAAGGUCUAUGAUGCAUUUCUCCAUUUAGAGUAUUUGGUGGGUAAGGGCCAAAAGCCAGAGGUGACUCAAGCAACUCAGCUUUUGUAUGAUCUUUGCAAGUUUAACAAAGCUAGAAAGGCUGUUAAGGUGAUGGAUAUGAUGGUUGAUUCAGGUAUUAUACCUGAUGCAGCCUCUUAUACAUACUUGGUCAAUUUUUUAUGCAGGAGAGGCAAUGUUGGGUAUGCUCUUCAGUUGGUUGAGAAGAUGGAGGGGCAUGGUCUUCCAACUAAUACUGUUACCUAUAACACUCUUGUUAAAGGCCUUUGCAUGCAUGGUAACUUGAAGCAGAGCUUGCAGCUUUUGGAUAAGUUGAGAAAGAAGGGCUUGGUUCCAAAUGCAUUCACAUUUUCUUUCCUUCUCCAAGCGGCUUACAAGGAAAGGGGAGUGGAUGAGGCCAUGAAGCUUCUUGAUGAGAUAAUUGCCAAGGGUGGAGAGCCUAAUUUGGUUAGUUACAAUGUGCUGUUAACUGGGUUGUGCAAGGAAGAGAGAACUGAAGAAGCUAUCAGGCUUUUCAGGGAAUUGCCUGCAAAAGGGUUCAGUCCUAGUGUUGUGAGUUACAACAUUUUGCUGAGGAGUUUGUGCUAUGAAGGGCGAUGGGAGGAAGCUAACGAACUUCUUGCAGAGAUGGAUAAAAGGGACCAGUCUCCCUCGGUGGUCACUUACAACAUAUUGAUUACUUCACUUUCAUUUCACGGAAGAACAGAACAAGCUUUUCAGGUUUUGGAUGAAAUGACAAGGAGUGGAUUCAAGGUGAGUGCUACUAGCUAUAAUCCGAUUGUUGCACGACUCUGCAAGGAAGGGAAAGUGGAUCUUGUUGUUCAAUGCAUAGACCAAAUGAUUCACAGGCGUUGUAAUCCUAAUGAUGGAACGUAUUGCGCUGUUGCAAUGCUGUGUGAGCAAGGUAAAGUGCAGGAGGCUUUUUUUAUAAUCCAAAGCAUGAGUAAUAAACAAAGCAACCCUAUCCAUGAUUUUUACAAAAACGUGAUUGCAAGCCUGUGUAGGAAAGGGAACACAUAUGCAGCUUUUCAGAUGUUAUAUGAAAUGACAAAAUAUGGAUUUACUCCAGAUUCAUUUACUUAUUCAUCUAUGAUAAGAGGAAUGUGUAGGGAGGGAAUGCUAGAUGAGGCUCUUAAGGUAUUCAGUAUUUUGGAAGAAAAUGAACACGUUCCUAAUAUUGAUAACUACAACGCACUUAUACUUGGAUUUUGCAAAGCUCGGAGAACAGACAUGUCAAUAGAGAUAUUUCUGAUGAUGGUUAACAAAGGAUGUGUGCCUAAUGAGAAUACCUAUACCAUUCUUGUGGAAGGACUUGCUUUUGAAGAGAAGACAGAUAUAGCUGCAGACCUGUUGAAAGAGUUGUGUGGGAAGGAGGUUCUGAGCCAAAGUACUGUUGAAAGGCUUUGUAUGCAAUUCGACUUCAAGGAAUUAAUAGCAGCAGAAUAGUGACAUAUACCCCUAACAGAAAGUAGGUAGGCCUAUGACUGCCUUCAGAUGUUAAUUAGUUAACAAGCUUGAAUGUUAGAACACGUAACCAUCUCUAUCAUUCUUCGGCUAUCUCCUUUGAUCUACAAGAAACUGAACUGUACAAUACCCUGUGUGGGUUCCAUAUCAGACAAUUGUUAAGAGAGUUUGAAAUACAUCUCAUCAGUAAUUUACAAACUAGCUCGUGGUGGUUCGUUGUGGCUUCAAACCUGGUGGAUUUCGUAAAGAUUCACAGUGGUCAGACAACGAGAAUUGUGUUUGUUGGGGCUUAGAACCUGUAGUUGUCAUAUGAAUUAACUUCUACUGAUGCCAUAUUAACUCUAUUUUUAGUCGAACAUUGUAAAUGCUCUGGAACAUCUUUUUAAUAAACAUAAAGUGUUAGUUUAA